GGAACAAAGAGCAUUUCUCCAAAUGUUUCAGUAAGCAUCUGAGCCACUUUAGCUUGAAGAUCAGGCGUUAGAUGAUCUUCCAGUGUUAUUACAACAGGGUAAGGAGAAGCAGAGAAUGCAUGUUCUUUUAUUGACUUGAGACAUCUUAUUAAUUCCACAGGGGUUGUCACUGUCCUUCCAUGAAGUACAUGUACGUCAUCCUUGUCGGAGUUUGGCCAUAU
This 221-nucleotide unclassified non-coding RNA is filed under the name Hevea brasiliensis (rubber tree). The record is from RNAcentral. Lineage: Eukaryota; Viridiplantae; Streptophyta; Magnoliopsida; Malpighiales; Euphorbiaceae.